CCUACGGGAGGCAGCAGUGAGGAAUAUUGGUCAAUGGACGAGAGUCUGAACCAGCCAAGUAGCGUGAAGGAUGACUGCCCUAUGGGUUGUAAACUUCUUUUAUAUGGGAAUAAAAUGUUCCACGUGUGGGAUUUUGUAUGUACCAUAUGAAUAAGGAACGGCUAACUCCGUGCCAGCAGCCGCGGUAAUACGGAGGAUCCGAGCGUUAUCCGGAUUUAUUGGGUUUAAAGGGAGCGUAGGUGGAUUGUUAAGUCAGUUGUGAAAGUUUGCGGCUCAACCGUAAAAUUGCAGUUGAAACUGGCAGUCUUGAGUACAGUAGAGGUGGGCGGAAUUCGAGGUGUAGCGGUGAAAUGCGUAGAUAUCAGGAAGAACACCAGUGGCGAAGGCGGCUCACUGGACUGCAACUGACGCUGAGGCUCGAAAGUGUGGGUAUCAAACAGGAUUAGAUACCCCGGUAGUC
RNAcentral lists this ribosomal RNA (460 nucleotides) under uncultured bacterium. RNAcentral describes it as "partial 16S ribosomal RNA". It matches the Rfam family "Bacterial small subunit ribosomal RNA", at positions 338 to 795 of the family's 1533-position model. The record is from RNAcentral.